GACCGUGUUUACGUGCCCAAUGACCCGGAGAUCAGGAAGUUGAUACUGCAAGAGGCGCAUGAUUCACCAUAUUCGAUUCACCCAGGAAAUACCAAGAUGUAUCUGGAUUUGAAGGAUAUUUUCUGGUGGACUGGAAUGAAGAAGGAUAUAGCGGAGUAUGUAGCAGUUUGUGAUGUAUGCCAGAGAGUAAAGGCAGGGCAUCAAAAGCCAGCAGGAUUGUUACAACCAUUGCCGAUAACCGAAUGGAAGUGGGAUAAGCUAGGCAUGGAUUUUAUCACGGGAUUGCCCAGGACUCGUUUAGGCUAUGACUCGAUUUGGGUUGUAGUUGAUCGAUUGACGAAAGUAGCUCAUUUCAUCCCAGUAAAGACCACUUACACCAGUGCUAAGUUGGCAAAGAUAUACAUGACCAGGAUCGUAUGUCUGCAUGGAGUUCCAAGGAGUAUCGUAUCAGAUAGAGGAACCCAAUUUACCUCAAAGUUCUGGAAGCAGUUGCAUGAAACUUUGGGUACCAGGCUAGAAUUCAGCACAACUUUUCAUCCACAGACAGAUGGACAAACCGAGAGGGUAAAUCAGAUUUUGGAGGAUAUGCUGAGAGCUUGUGCGCUAGAUUAUGGAUCUAGUUGGGACGACAAUUUUCCAUAUGCAGAGUUCUCUUACAACAACAGUUACCAAACCAGUUUGAAG
This 684-nucleotide ribosomal RNA is filed under the name Triticum aestivum (bread wheat). RNAcentral describes it as "partial small subunit ribosomal RNA". The record is from RNAcentral. Lineage: Eukaryota; Viridiplantae; Streptophyta; Magnoliopsida; Poales; Poaceae.